Molecule: long non-coding RNA, 736 nt
Organism: Anopheles arabiensis
Lineage: Eukaryota; Metazoa; Arthropoda; Insecta; Diptera; Culicidae
Exons: 3
Source: RefSeq, a predicted model, not a curated record
GAACGCAUACCGAUCCAGAUAUAACUCCCGAUUAAAUUUUUUUUUCUGAAACAGUACCUGGACCCGUUCCGGAUUCGCUGUUUUUCCGUCCAUAAAGGUCGAUGAUUGUUUGAUCGAUCCAAUGCAGAGAAUGCUGCGGUUUAAGGGUACGGCGCUCGACCUAACGCGCGCUAGAAUUUGCAAAUUUAUGCCGGGCGUUACGACCGGACCGUGCCGUUCUCGAAUGAAAAAAAUAUAAGCUCUGCCAGUAUUGAUCGCCAAGUCACACGCAGCUACAUGGGGGACGGAGCUGUGUAAGUUGGAUUUCGAUUUUUUUUUCGGCACUAUCUUUUAGUUACAGGGUCAAUCGUGGAACAAUGUUGUUGAUGUUGCACAGGAAGGCUUUUGUGAGAGAAAUUAUGAAUUUUUCAAAAUACGCUUAGUGUAGUGUCGUCGAUUUUAUUACUUUAGUUUACUUCCGCGCGGUGUGGUCGUCCGAUGUCUUCUGCCGGCUCUCGAUCUGCUUCGCCUUGCCGUGUGCUCGAUGUUUCCCUCCCAUUCGUCUCUCUGUCCGGUGCAGAUAGUCGGCUCUCGCUGUAUGUCACUGCUGACAGCCACUGCUCUCAUAACUCACAACCCUACAAGAGCUGUGUAACGCUUCCCUGUAACUCAUCAAUGCUCAAGAUCUGAUGCAAACCGAUCGAAUACAGAAGCUUUGCAGGAAAAAGAAAGAAAGCCAAUAUCUGUGAUAUACGUU